UACAGAGGUCUCAAGCGUUGUUCGGAAUCAUUGGGCGUAAAGAGCGCGUAGGCGGCCCUGUAAGUCCGCUGUGAAAGUCAAGGGCUCAACCCUUGGAUGCCGGUGGAUACUGCAGGGCUAGAGUCCGGAAGAGGCGAGUGGAAUUCCUGGUGUAGCGGUGAAGUGCGCAGAUAUCAGGAGGAACACCGAUGGCGAAGGCAGCUCGCUGGGACGGUACUGACGCUGAGGCGCGAAAGCGUGGGGAGCAAACAGG
This 253-nucleotide ribosomal RNA is filed under the name uncultured bacterium. RNAcentral describes it as "partial 16S ribosomal RNA". It matches the Rfam family "Bacterial small subunit ribosomal RNA", at positions 524 to 776 of the family's 1533-position model. The record is from RNAcentral.